This 253-nucleotide ribosomal RNA is filed under the name uncultured bacterium. Its description in RNAcentral is "partial 16S ribosomal RNA". It matches the Rfam family "Bacterial small subunit ribosomal RNA", at positions 524 to 776 of the family's 1533-position model. The record is from RNAcentral.
UACGGAGGGUGCAAGCGUUAUCCGGAUUCACUGGGUUUAAAGGGUGCGUAGGUGGGCAGGUAAGUCAGUGGUGAAAUCUCUGGGCUCAACCCAGAAACUGCCGUUGAUACUAUCUGUCUUGAAUGUAGUGGAGGUGAGCGGAAUAUGUCAUGUAGCGGUGAAAUGCUUAGAUAUGACAUAGAACACCUAUUGCGAAGGCAGCUCGCUACACUAUUAUUGACGCUGAGGCACGAAAGCGUGGGGAUCAAACAGG